Molecule: long non-coding RNA, 132 nt
Organism: Sinocyclocheilus anshuiensis
Lineage: Eukaryota; Metazoa; Chordata; Actinopteri; Cypriniformes; Cyprinidae
Exons: 3
Source: RefSeq, a predicted model, not a curated record
GAUCCACACAGAGCCAGAGCCAGCUGUGAAGAAGACUGAGACAGUGGUCAAACUCGACUCAGCGUCUGAUGCUGUGGUUAAAGUCGAUAUGCCAGAUGAUGAGAAAGGUGGGAAAGGGAAAAAGAAGCGGAA